RNAcentral lists this ribosomal RNA (1000 nucleotides) under uncultured organism. RNAcentral describes it as "bacterial SSU rRNA". It matches the Rfam family "Bacterial small subunit ribosomal RNA", at positions 355 to 1375 of the family's 1533-position model. The record is from RNAcentral.
UGGGGGAUAUUGCGCAAUGGGGGCAGCCCUGACGCAGCAACGCCGCGUGAAGGAUGAAGGUUUUCGGAUUGUAAACUUCUUUUAUUAAGGACGAAACUUGACGGUACUUAAUGAAUAAGCUCCGGCUAACUACGUGCCAGCAGCCGCGGUAAUACGUAGGGAGCAAGCGUUGUCCGGAUUUACUGGGUGUAAAGGGUGCGUAGGCGGCUUUGCAAGUCAGAUGUGAAAUCUAUGGGCUCAACCCAUAAACUGCAUUUGAAACUGUAGAGCUUGAGUGAAGUAGAGGCAGGCGGAAUUCCCCGUGUAGCGGUGAAAUGCGUAGAGAUGGGGAGGAACACCAGUGGCGAAGGCGGCCUGCUGGGCUUUAACUGACGCUGAGGCACGAAAGCGUGGGUAGCAAACAGGAUUAGAUACCCUGGUAGUCCACGCUGUAAACGAUGAUUACUAGGUGUGGGGGGUCUGACCCCUUCCGUGCCGGAGUUAACACAAUAAGUAAUCCACCUGGGGAGUACGGCCGCAAGGUUGAAACUCAAAGGAAUUGACGGGGGCCCGCACAAGCAGUGGAGUAUGUGGUUUAAUUCGAAGCAACGCGAAGAACCUUACCAGGUCUUGACAUCCAACUAACGAAGUAGAGAUACAUUAGGUGCCCUUCGGGGAAAGUUGAGACAGGUGGUGCAUGGUUGUCGUCAGCUCGUGUCGUGAGAUGUUGGGUUAAGUCCCGCAACGAGCGCAACCCUUGCUAUUAGUUGCUACGCAAGAGCACUCUAAUAGGACUGCCGUUGACAAAACGGAGGAAGGUGGGGACGACGUCAAAUCAUCAUGCCCCUUAUGACCUGGGCUACACACGUACUACAAUGGAUGUUAACAGAGGGAAGCAAGACAGCGAUGUGGAGCAAACCCCUAAAAACAUUCUCAGUUCAGAUUGCAGGCUGCAACCCGCCUGCAUGAAGAUGGAAUUGCUAGUAAUCGCGGAUCAGCAUGCCGCGGUGAAUACGUUCCC